RNAcentral lists this long non-coding RNA (1926 nucleotides) under Olea europaea subsp. europaea. Lineage: Eukaryota; Viridiplantae; Streptophyta; Magnoliopsida; Lamiales; Oleaceae. The record is from RNAcentral.
UAAUAAUUCAGUUCCUAAGGUUUAAGAAUUAAUUAAUUCGGGCCAUUAAAGUUCUGAAUUUUAUAAUUAAAGCCCUCAAACUUUAAUUAUUAAUUCAAAUUGGCCCCCAAGUUUAUAAUUAAUUCAAAUCGACCUCCAAAGUUUCAAAUUUUCAAAAUUUGAUCCCUAAAGUUUUGAAUUGAUCAAUUUAAGGCCCUUAAAGUUUUAAAUUUGUUCUAAUUGAUCCUCCAGAGUUUUGAAUUAAUUAAUUAUGGUCCCUAAAGUUUCAAGUUUAUAAUUUCAACCCCUAAAGUUUGGAAUUAAUUAAUUUUGCCCCCCUAAAGUUUUGAAUUAUUAAUCCUAAGGCCCCUAAAGUUUAAAACUAAACAAAAUAUGUAAAAUUGGUGAUUAUCUUUCUCAAAUUUUGGUACUAAGGACUCUUUUAAGAUAUGUAAUAUUCGAAAGUUGGUUAAUUGGAGCAACAUGUUGGCAAAGCAACCUCUCUUAUGGAAAUUAACUAACUUAGAAUAUUAAAAGAUGUUUUUGCAUGUGUUAUUCAUAAGAAUAUUAGUCGGCCCAAAGGAAGGUCAAUAUUUAGCCGAAUACACAUGCAUCUGUGGUGAUAAACGUGUGACGAUUAUUUGAUUUAAUGUGUUCAAUAAAUCGGUCCAAAGAAUGGUUUGUUGAUUGAUACAUUGUUUUACCGUCAAUGUUUGAUCACUAUGCCAAGAGUAACGCUUACAAGUCAAUAUCUCUAUCCAAAGACUAGAUAUUGAUGUUGUGCUUGGUAUCUUGUGAUGGGUCCCACCACUAUUUGAAAUUAUUAUUAUUUGCAUAUUAAAGAUAUUCAUGUGAGCUAUUCAUAAUAAUCGUUCUCUAAUUCAGUUUCAAGUUUUGGUGCUAAUAUCUCUGCUAGCAUCAAUUCAAUUCCAAUGUUACAUGGCACAAACAUCAGGGCAUGGCAAGAGAACGUGAUGAUUGUUCUCGGAGUCAUAAACCUAGACCUCGUUUUACGGGUCGAUCAAUCCGCUGCACUUACUCAUAAGAGUACCUCUGAUGAUAUGAUGGAGAUGAAAAAAUGAGAACGAUCGAACCGCAUAAGCUUAAUGGUCAUGAAGUGUGCUAUUCCAGAAGCAUUCCAGGGCACUAUGUUCGAUAAGGUGAUUAUGGCUAAGGGUUUCCUUGAGGAUAUUGAGAAGAGGUUUGUCAAGAAUGAAAAGGCUGAAAUAAGUACACUUUUGACGAACCUUGUCUCUAUGAGGUAUAAAGAGAAAGGAAACAUUUGGGAGUACAUUAUGGAAAUGUCUUACAUUGCUUCAAAACUAAAGGUACUCAAGUUGGAUUUAUCUGAAGACUUGUUGGUGCACUUGGUUCUGAUAUCUCUUCCGGCACAAUUCAGUUAAUUCAAGGUGAGCUACAAUUUUCAAAAGGACUCAUGGUCCCUCAAUGACCUCAUCUCACACUGUAUCCAAAAAGAGGAAAGAUUGAAGUAUGAGAAGACAGAAAGUGCUCAUUUAGCCACCACGUCUAAGGACAAAAGGAACAAGAAAAUGAAUAUUAAGAAGGAAGCUGCGGGUACAGCACCGCAAAAACAACAUAAGGAACCAACUGAAGGUGGCUGUUUCUUCUGUCGAGCUGCAGGUCAUAAGAAGAAGAAUUGCACCAAUUACCAUGCAUGGCAUGUAAAGAAAGGUAUUAUUUUUCAUCUAGUUUGUUUUGAGGUUAAUUUAACUUCGGUACCUAGACAUACAUGGUAGAUAGAUUCUGGUGCAACAACUCACAUCAGUAUGUUUAUGUAGGGUUGCCUGAGUUGUCGAAAAACAAGUGAUGGUAAAAGAUACAUCUAUGUUGGCGACGACAAAAAGAUGGAAGUAGAGGCAAUAGGAAAAUUUGGAUUAUUGUUAAAAAUUGGAUUUUAUUUGGAUCUUGUUGAGACAUUUAUUGUAU